CGUAGAUAACCUGCCUGUAUGACCGGGAUAACAGUUGGAAACGACUGCUAAUACCGGAUAGGCAGAGAGGAGGCAUCUCUUCUCUGUUAAAGUUGGGAUACAACGCAAACAGAUGGAUCUGCGGUGCAUUAGCUAGUUGGUGAGGUAACGGCCCACCAAGGCGAUGAUGCAUAGCCGGCCUGAGAGGGCGAACGGCCACAUUGGGACUGAGACACGGCCCAA
This 222-nucleotide ribosomal RNA is filed under the name uncultured bacterium. Its description in RNAcentral is "partial 16S ribosomal RNA". It matches the Rfam family "Bacterial small subunit ribosomal RNA", at positions 116 to 334 of the family's 1533-position model. The record is from RNAcentral.